UUCGGUCUGGCGGCGAGUGGCGAACGGGUGAGUAAUGCAUCGGAACGUACCUUUCAGUGGGGGAUAACGUAGCGAAAGUUACGCUAAUACCGCAUAUUCUGUGAGCAGGAAAGCAGGGGAUCGCAAGACCUUGCGCUGAUGGAGCGGCCGAUGUCAGAUUAGCUAGUUGGUGGGGUAAAGGCUCACCAAGGCGACGAUCUGUAGCGGGUCUUAGAGGAUGAUCCGCCACACUGGAACUGAGACACGGUCCAGACUCCUACGGGAGGCAGCAGUGGGGAAUUUUGGACAAUGGGCGCAAGCCUGAUCCAGCCAUGCCGCGUGAGUGAAGAAGGCCUUCGGGUUGUAAAGCUCUUUCGGCCGGGAAAAAAUCGCUUGGGUUAAUACCCUGAGUGGAUGAUGGUACCGGAAUAAGAAGCACCGGCUAACUACGUGCCAGCAGCCGCGGUAAUACGUAGGGUGCGAGCGUUAAUCGGAAUUACUGGGCGUAAAGCGUGCGCAGGCGGUUUUGUAAGACAGGCGUGAAAUCCCCGGGCUCAACCUGGGAACU
This 547-nucleotide ribosomal RNA is filed under the name uncultured Dechloromonas sp. RNAcentral's name for it is "bacterial SSU rRNA". It matches the Rfam family "Bacterial small subunit ribosomal RNA", at positions 79 to 622 of the family's 1533-position model. The record is from RNAcentral. Lineage: Bacteria; Pseudomonadati; Pseudomonadota; Betaproteobacteria; Rhodocyclales; Azonexaceae.